UUGUGCGUGUGACAGCGGC
Molecule: microRNA, 19 nt
Filed under: Drosophila ananassae
Lineage: Eukaryota; Metazoa; Arthropoda; Insecta; Diptera; Drosophilidae
Also listed under: 2 other names
Description: miR-210-RA
Source: RNAcentral